Schizosaccharomyces pombe (fission yeast) is the source of this 400-nucleotide non-coding RNA. The record is from the annotation of a GenBank genome assembly. NCBI's taxonomy places the organism in Eukaryota, Fungi, Ascomycota, Schizosaccharomycetes, Schizosaccharomycetales, Schizosaccharomycetaceae.
AUUUAUUAAGAAUGGGAAAACUGAAUAAAUCGAAUAUCCUAACCACUGACGAUUAGACACAUUAAUUCGAUUAAUAACAGUGAUGGUUAUGUUAAUGAAAAUACGAGAUGAGGAAACUUAUUAAUCAAAGCAAUCAUCUGGCUAAAAAUUAAACGAACAUCUGUGAAUGUUAAAAAUCUUAAGUAAACAACAAAUCGGUUAACAUAAUUUUCAACGAAAAAAAUGUUUUAAACCCAUUUCUUUAAUUCGUUAAUUUAAUCAGGAUUCCAUUUUAUCAUAAACAAGCAAAUGAACCGACACAAAAUGAAACGGAAGUUCCACAGAGGCACAAAAACUAAGUUUUACCAAAAUUACUCUGCAGCCUUUUGACGUGUUCAAAUAGAAAUGGCAUUUCCUACUU